GUAUCCUGUCUGAAUAUGGGGGGACCAUCCUCCAAGGCUAAAUACUCCUGACUGACCGAUAGUGAACCAGUACCGUGAGGGAAAGGCGAAAAGAACCCCGGCGAGGGGAGUGAAAAAGAACCUGAAACCGUGUACGUACAAGCAGUGGGAGCCUCUUUAUGGGGUGACUGCGUACCUUUUGUAUAAUGGGUCAGCGACUUAUAUUCUGUAGCAAGGUUAACCGAAUAGGGGAGCCGAAGGGAAACCGAGUCUUAACUGGGCGUUAAGUUGCAGGGUAUAGACCCGAAACCCGGUGAUCUAGCCAUGGGCAGGUUGAAGGUUGGGUAACACUAACUGGAGGACCGAACCGACUAAUGUUGAAAAAUUAGCGGAUGACUUGUGGCUGGGGGUGAAAGGCCAAUCAAACCGGGAGAUAGCUGGUUCUCCCCGAAAGCUAUUUAGGUAGCGCCUCGUGAAUUCAUCUCCGGGGGUAGAGCACUGUUUCGGCAAGGGGGUCAUCCCGACUUACCAACCCGAUGCAAACUGCGAAUACCGGAGAAUGUUAUCACGGGAGACACACGGCGGGUGCUAACGUCCGUCGUGAAGAGGGAAACAACCCAGACCGCCAGCUAAGGUCCCAAAGUCAUGGUUAAGUGGGAAACGAUGUGGGAAGGCCCAGACAGCCAGGAUGUUGGCUUAGAAGCAGCCAUCAUUUAAAGAAAGCGUAAUAGCUCACUGGUCGAGUCGGCCUGCGCGGAAGAUGUAACGGGGCUAAACCAUGCACCGAAGCUGCGGCAGCGACACUAUGUGUUGUUGGGUAGGGGAGCGUUCUGUAAGCCUGUGAAGGUGUGCUGUGAGGUAUGCUGGAGG
RNAcentral lists this ribosomal RNA (849 nucleotides) under Escherichia coli. RNAcentral's name for it is "partial 23S ribosomal RNA". It matches the Rfam family "Bacterial large subunit ribosomal RNA", at positions 429 to 1279 of the family's 2925-position model. The record is from RNAcentral. Lineage: Bacteria; Pseudomonadati; Pseudomonadota; Gammaproteobacteria; Enterobacterales; Enterobacteriaceae.